Non-coding RNA from Colinus virginianus (northern bobwhite), 87 nucleotides. The record is from Rfam. NCBI's taxonomy places the organism in Eukaryota, Metazoa, Chordata, Aves, Galliformes, Odontophoridae.
GCUGUACAGUGAUGAGACUUUGGCUCCCUCUACUGAUGCUUGUGAGGAAAGCAGCCAUACGUUACCCAAUACCUCUGAGAGUACAGC